CGAUAAUAAAUCCACGAAAGAUUCGAGCGAAACUGUAAGAACAAAGUCUUUACAUAUUUUUCCUUUAAGAAUAAAGGAUACUUUGAUCUAAAAAAAAAAAAAAAGAAGAAGAAAACACGUGAAGAGAGAAAGAGAGUGGUUGGAAUGAAAAGUAAAACAUAAUAAAAAAUAAAACAGGAGUGAAAAUAAAUACAAAAGAACAAGUUACUCACUUGUAGAUACGCUGUGUGAUGUCCACUACGACGACGACGACGACGACGUUGUCGACGUGGUGGGCGACAACAGCGGGUAGAAGAACCCAAACGACGAGAUGGACGUAUCAACGCGUAAGGGUAAAACGCGUCGAGAUUAUAACCUUAAAUUCCACCGUGUAGAAGGGUGUUCUGCGUGGAGCUGUGCUGCCUCCUGCCGCGGCAACGAGCUUCCAACGGUGGCAGCUGGAGAUGGUGGUGGUGAUAAUUGUAGUAGUAGUAGUAGCAGUAGUAGUGGUAAUAGUGGGAGAGCAUCGACACGCGCGCGUGUGUCACGCAAUAAAGAAGAAUAAGAAUAAGAAGAAUAAAGUAUCAAAUAAAAAUUAAAUAUGAAAACGCGACACGAUAGACUUUGGGUAAUGCGUUGUUUCCGUUAAUAUUACUAGAACUUCUGUUUUUCCUUCUGUUGUUAUCUAUGCUCGACCGUUGGCUCAAAAUGGAAUGACACCUUGUCGGCGAUUCUUGCGACGAUUCUUGCGCGACGGCUGUUGCAGUGGAAGAACAAAAUCUAGAAGAAUUGUAAGAGGAAGCGGCAGCAAAGAAGAAGAAGAAGCGCGCUCGUUCGUGGCGUCGAGACGACUGUCGAGUGUCGCACCGUGCACCGUGCGAAGGGGCGGCUUUCUCGCGACGACGACGACGACGACGCGUUCUCGAGUGUGGCGCGAGCGACGAACGUGCACGAAGCGCGAUGAUACGCGACGACAUCGACAACGAGAACCGUCCGGCACUACUACCCCUGUUUUUCUUCCCUUUUCUCUUUUGAUCUCCUCCAAACAAUAUAUACUAUAUAUACAUAUAUAUAUAUAUAUAUAUAUAUAUAUAUAUAUAUAUAUGUCUGUAUGUAUGUGUAACAAAUUCGUAUUUUUAACGAGGACGAUGAAAAGCGAAUUUGACGUAAACGAAGACUACGACGACGACAACGACAAUGACAACGACAACGACAACCACAACGACGACGACGACAACAACGACGACGACGACGACGACGACGACGACGACGAUGACGACGACGAUAAAAAUAGAAGAAACGAACACGUCGUCUCGCCGAGGACGAGACGAGGAGUAGUAGCGUGCGAGCGAGCAAGCAAGGAGGAGAGGCACGAAGCCUCGAAAACGUCCUGCUGCUGCUGCUGCUGCUGCUGUUGCUGCUGCUGCUGCUGCUCCUACCACCACCGACACCGCCCUCGCAAUCUGGCGCUUCCACGCACCUCGGGCGCGGCAGAAACGCGCCGACGCGACGCCGCCUCGCAAAUACGCAAGCGUCCCAGCCAAAACACGCCGAAUACCCCCGGUUUCUCUUCCCUAUUUAUCCUUCACCCCGUCCCUCCCUGGCCCAUUUCGAAAUUACCGCGCUAUUCGACAGAGAGCGCCACGUUCACCGACUCGCCCACUCUCCCGCCUCUUUUUUCAAUUUCGAAAGAAAUUUUAUGAAUUAUAAAGUAUUUAAAAGUCAAAGAAAUGAAUUUCGCGUUUAAAUGGACUGAAUUAUUUAUUUCUAUCGUUUGCCUUAUAAACGUCAUCGUACCACGAGUAAAUCGUCGAACUUGGGAAAAUUUGAUUGAAAAAAGAUUUCAUUUAAACGCAUUUGUUUUACGUUAUUGUUUCAUAUUGAUAUUCGUCAUUGGUUUCGUACCCCACGGGGUUUAAGACGAUGGACAAGUUUUGACUUAUAAAAUUUGCGACAGAUUAAACAUUAUAAAUAGUACGAUAAAAGAAUCAAUAAGAACUAAUGAAAAAAAAUUUAUCCGAAAUUUUGUAAACUUUCGAAGAUCGCAAUGGAGUAUAUUAUUUUAAUCGGUCUUUUGAUUUUAAUUCCCAUCGACUUUGUUAGAUAUAAAAGGAAGUAAAAUAUUUUUUUCUAAUAAUUUUAAUUAUGAUCUAACCAUGAUUUUGAUAUUCAUAUAAUCUAUAUGGUAUUAUAUUCUUUCGUUAGGCAACUUUAAUGUAAAUCGAAAUACAAAAAAAUGCCUUUCAAUUUCAACCUUUAUUAUUUUUUAAAACGAAAAAAAGAUCUAUCUAAAAAAUGUCCAUCCUAUUGACCGAUCGAACGAGGAUCAUUGCGAUUUAUAGAUCAUAACAAGAAAGAGCUGAAACUUUUUUGUUUGUUUUCCAAAGAAUUCAACGUCCUUAAGGGAAAAAACGAGGCUAAUUUUGUGACAGUUCGAGAGGGACCUUCUAGACAAUGCAGAUUCAAUUAAAGUCUCCUGAGCGCGAAACUUUUCCAAUCAAAGUGGUACAUGCUCCGUGGCCUGUUCUUUUCUAUGGAAGAACCAAAGCAGAAGCGAAAGUCCUUCUGUCCACAAGACUUUUUUCCAAUGAAAUUUUCUUCCGAAGACCUAACGUGAAAGGAUACGGAUAUAUUCUACGACAGCCAUCAGCUCAACAGCUUUCGACUUCGACUGAUUUCCUCGAACUUCCCUUUUUAAUACACUCUUGAGACUUAAGAAACUCUAAUGAGCAUUAAUAAUUAAAGGUUUUCAUGUAACAAGACUUUUAUUUAACAUGAAAUCAAUUAGAUUCUAAGAACAAAAUUUCUCAUUAUCAAAGAUCCCAUCUAAAAAGAUUAAAAAAUUACUUACAUUUUAUUCGAUUAAAAUGAAAAAUCAGAAAUUACCUACCAUAAAAUAAUCAAUUUAUGACAUAGUCUAAUUCUUACGUAAUUCUUAAAAAUUUUUAAUUGUACGCGAGAAACCAAACGGGUUCUUUGCAUUACCUAAGAAUUUUCAUUCCUAUUCCCGAUAAUAAUCUUGUCUUAUUUAAUCAUCAUUUUUCAAAAUGGUUACUUACCGUAAUACCCUUAAUACAAUUGACAGGUGCUAACGAGAAGUGAAAAUGAAAGUAAUAACGUUUUAUUAUUUAAAAAUGCUUUCCACAAUGUCAAGCGUAAUUUUGAUGAUACAUACUAUAAAUACGUACAUGGAGGUUGCGUUCUGACUGUUAUGGUUGCUAGAGUAACGACAAGCGAUAGAUCAAACCGUUUUCACCGUUAAAAACGUUUCUCAGCAACCACUCCACUUGCUGAAGUUUAUGGUGCUCGUAUAAAACGUUUGUUAUAUCGAAAUCGAUCAGUAUAUGAUAUACAUCACAAAAACGUUUAUUUUAUUUUGGAUAUCUCGAAAUUCGUCAAACUUUCUAGAACACGUCAAGAUCAAGAAGUAUUUCACUAAUGAUCGGCAUCGAUCGACUUGUUGAAUUUCUUUAAAUUAAGAGAAAAAGAGAGAGAGAGAAAGAGAGAGAGAGAGAGAGAGAGAGAGAGAGAGAGAUCGAUUAAUUGGACGGUACUCGA
Molecule: RNA transcript, 3537 nt
Organism: Vespa velutina
Lineage: Eukaryota; Metazoa; Arthropoda; Insecta; Hymenoptera; Vespidae
Gene name: dynein regulatory complex protein 9
Exons: 2
Source: RefSeq, a predicted model, not a curated record